Molecule: ribosomal RNA, 387 nt
Filed under: uncultured bacterium
Lineage: Bacteria
Description: bacterial SSU rRNA
Rfam family: Bacterial small subunit ribosomal RNA
Source: RNAcentral
GACGAACGCUGGCGGCGUGCUUAACACAUGCAAGUCGAACGGUGACCCAGGGCUUGCCCUGGUGAUCAGUGGCGAACGGGUGAGUAACACGUGGGCAACCUGCCCCUGACUUCGGGAUAACUCCUCGAAGAGGAGCUAAUACCGGAUACGACCACUUCGGACAUCCGAUGGUGGUGGAAAGUUUUUCGGUCAGGGAUGGGCCCGCGGCCUAUCAGCUAGUUGGUGGGGUAAUGGCCUACCAAGGCGACGACGGGUAACCGGCCUGAGAGGGCGACCGGCCACACUGGGACUGAGACACGGCCCAGACUCCUACGGGAGGCAGCAGUGGGGAAUAUUGCGCAAUGGGCGAAAGCCUGACGCAGCGACGCCGCGUGAGGGAUGAAGGCC